UGGGGAAUAUUGGACAAUGGGCGAAAGCCUGAUCCAGCCAUGCCGCGUGUGUGAAGAAGGUCUUCGGAUUGUAAAGCACUUUUAGUUGGGAGGAAGGGCAGUAAAUUAAUACUUUGCUGUUUUGACGUUACCGACAGAAUAAGCACCGGCUAACUCUGUGCCAGCAGCCGCGGUAAUACGGAGGGUGCAAGCGUUAAUCGGAAUUACUGGGCGUAAAGCGCGCGUAGGUGGUUUGUUAAGUUGGAUGUGAAAUCCCCGGGCUCAACCUGGGAACUGCAUUCNAAACUGGCAAGCUAGAGUAUGGUAGAGGGUGGUGGAAUUUCCGGUGUAGCGGUGAAAUGCGUAGAUAUNGGAAGGAACACCAGUGGCGAAGGCGACCNCCUGGACUGAUACUGACNCUGAGGA
This 405-nucleotide ribosomal RNA is filed under the name gamma proteobacterium SCGC AAA044-I07. Its description in RNAcentral is "bacterial SSU rRNA". It matches the Rfam family "Bacterial small subunit ribosomal RNA", at positions 355 to 752 of the family's 1533-position model. Lineage: Bacteria; Pseudomonadati; Pseudomonadota; Gammaproteobacteria. The record is from RNAcentral.